CAGUAGCCACGGGAAUACAGAGGGUGCGAGCGUUAAUCGGAUUUACUGGGCGUAAAGCGUGCGUAGGCGGCUUCUUAAGUCGGAUGUGAAAUCCCUGAGCUUAACUUAGAAAUUGCAUUCGAUACUGGGAAGCUAGAGUAUGGGAGAGGAUGGUAGAAUUCCAGGUGUAGCGGUGAAAUGCGUAGAGAUCUGGAGGAAUACCGAUGGCGAAGGCAGCCAUCUGGCCUAAUACUGACGCUGAGGUACGAAAGCAUGGGGAGCAAACAGGAUUAGAUACCCCCGUAGUCCCUGUCUCUUAUAC
Molecule: ribosomal RNA, 301 nt
Filed under: uncultured bacterium
Lineage: Bacteria
Description: partial 16S ribosomal RNA
Rfam family: Bacterial small subunit ribosomal RNA
Source: RNAcentral